Molecule: ribosomal RNA, 216 nt
Filed under: Campeiostachys nutans
Lineage: Eukaryota; Viridiplantae; Streptophyta; Magnoliopsida; Poales; Poaceae
Description: Elymus nutans partial small subunit ribosomal RNA
Rfam family: Eukaryotic small subunit ribosomal RNA (bases 40-216)
Source: RNAcentral
GGGUUAGUAGGUUGGUCAUGCCUCUGGUAUGUACUGGUCUCACUGAUUCCUCCUUCCUGAUGAGCCGUAAUGCCAUUAAUUUGGUGUUGCGGGGAAUUUGGACUGUUACUGUGAAAAAAUUAGAGUGUUCAAAGCAGGCAAUCGCUUGGAUACAUUAGCAUGGAAUAAUGAAAUAGGACGUUCGAUCCUAUUUUGUUGGUUUCUAGGAUAGACGUA